AACUACGGCCAUACUACCCUAAAUAUGCCUGAUCUCAUCUGAUCUCAGAAGCUAAGCAGGAUCAGGCCUGGUUAGUACUUGGAUGGGAGACCACGUGGGAAUACCGGGUGCCGUAGGCU
Rhineura floridana is the source of this 119-nucleotide ribosomal RNA. Lineage: Eukaryota; Metazoa; Chordata; Lepidosauria; Squamata; Rhineuridae. The record is from RefSeq and is a predicted model, not a curated record.